AAAAAGGGCUUGUGCCGUGAGCAGCAGCUUGAUUGCCCGGUGUGCGAAAUCGACAUCAAGACAUGUCAAAGGCAUGAUUUUUUGGUAUCCGGGCAGCUGGUGAUCGUUGGUCCCAGUGCCCUU
This is a small nuclear RNA of Perognathus longimembris pacificus (Pacific pocket mouse), 123 nucleotides long. RefSeq annotates it as U11 spliceosomal RNA. The record is from RefSeq and is a predicted model, not a curated record. The transcript has a single exon. Lineage: Eukaryota; Metazoa; Chordata; Mammalia; Rodentia; Heteromyidae.